GGCUUGAUGGUGUAGUGGUAACACAUCCAUCUCAAUUAUUGCUAUUCCAGCUAGGUUUCAUGGGAAGUCCCUUGUUCGAACCAAGGUCAGGCCA
Mycena alexandri is the source of this 94-nucleotide non-coding RNA. Lineage: Eukaryota; Fungi; Basidiomycota; Agaricomycetes; Agaricales; Mycenaceae. The record is from the annotation of a GenBank genome assembly.